This 352-nucleotide long non-coding RNA is filed under the name Pan troglodytes (chimpanzee). RNAcentral's name for it is "long non-coding RNA NONPTRT013676". Lineage: Eukaryota; Metazoa; Chordata; Mammalia; Primates; Hominidae. The record is from RNAcentral.
UAAAAGGGUUACAUUUAUAACAUCUUUAGCCUACAUAACUCUUUGUGAAUAUAUAUACCUACAUAAGUGGGAACACCAAACUAUCUACUCUUGAACAGUUACAAUUCUAAAUAGACUGCUGAUUAAAUAUUCCACGUGUAGGUUAGAGAUUCAAGACCACCUUAGGCUCAAGGUGGUAUUGAGUUCUCUUUUCCUGGGGUGUUGCCUCUGGGUUCAUGUAGUGGCUCAGCACGUUGUUAGUGGGAUUCUUUCCCAUCCUAGAUCCCUGUUAUGGGACCACACAAUUUCCUCAUCAUUAUAUAUUUUUUUUAGAUAAAUUGGAUUCCACAAAAUCCUUCUCUGAAGGAAAAUG